GCUCCCAUGGCGUAGUGGUCACUGCACUCGCCUUGCACGCGGGAGACCCGGGUUCGAUUCCCGGUAGGGUCA
RNAcentral lists this transfer RNA (72 nucleotides) under Diaphorina citri (Asian citrus psyllid). It matches the Rfam family "tRNA". From Rfam's summary of the family: Transfer RNA (tRNA) molecules are approximately 80 nucleotides in length. Their secondary structure includes four short double-helical elements and three loops (D, anti-codon, and T loops). Lineage: Eukaryota; Metazoa; Arthropoda; Insecta; Hemiptera; Psyllidae. The record is from Rfam by way of RNAcentral.